Parelaphostrongylus tenuis is the source of this 72-nucleotide non-coding RNA. The record is from the annotation of a GenBank genome assembly. NCBI's taxonomy places the organism in Eukaryota, Metazoa, Nematoda, Chromadorea, Rhabditida, Metastrongylidae.
GGCCUCAGUGGUGUAGUGGUAGCACGAGCCUUCAGUAGGAUGAAACGCGGGUUCAACUCCCGCGUGAGUUCG